This 186-nucleotide non-coding RNA is filed under the name Clostridiales bacterium. Its description in RNAcentral is "6S RNA". It matches the Rfam family "6S / SsrS RNA". From Rfam's summary of the family: E. coli 6S RNA was the first non coding RNA to be sequenced, but its function was unknown until recently. It consists of 184 nucleotides that fold into an extended hairpin structure with a large single-stranded internal bulge. The 6S RNA specifically associates with RNA polymerase holoenzyme containing the sigma70 specificity factor. Lineage: Bacteria; Bacillati; Bacillota; Clostridia; Eubacteriales. The record is from RNAcentral.
GUAUUCCUGAGGUGUUGGCCAGUUUUCUGUUUUUACCCACAUUUCACUAAACGGAACCCGCGUCAUUGGAUGGAUGUCACGCCCCCGUGGCAACAUGUUAGGGGAAGACAAAAGUCUGGUGCAGGGAGCCGGCCUGCUUAACACAGCGGGUGAAAAAACAGGGGGCAGCGGCACCUCGGGGCCUUU